GACGAACGCUGGCGGCGUGCUUAACACAUGCAAGUCGAACGGAAAGGCCCUGCUUUUGUGGGGUGCUCGAGUGGCGAACGGGUGAGUAACACGUGAGUAACCUGCCCUUGACUUUGGGAUAACUUCGGGAAACUGGGGCUAAUACCGGAUAGGAGCUCCUGCUGCAUGGUGGGGGUUGGAAAGUUUCGGCGGUUGGGGAUGGACUCGCGGCUUAUCAGCUUGUUGGUGGGGUAGUGGCUUACCAAGGCUUUGACGGGUAGCCGGCCUGAGAGGGUGACCGGCCACAUUGGGACUGAGAUACGGCCCAGACUCCUACGGGAGGCAGCAGUGGGGAAUAUUGCACAAUGGGCGGAAGCCUGAUGCAGCAACGCCGCGUGCGGGAUGACGGCCUUCGGGUUGUAAACCGCUUUCGCCUGUGACGAAGCGUGAGUGACGGUAAUGGGUAAAGAAGCACCGGCUAACUACGUGCCAGCAGCCGCGGUGAUACGUAGGGUGCGAGCGUUGUCCGGAUUUAUUGGGCGUAAAGGGCUCGUAGGUGGUUGAUCGCGUCGGAAGUGUAAUCUUGGGGCUUAACCCUGAGCGUGCUUUCGAUACGGGUUGACUUGAGGAAGGUAGGGGAGAAUGGAAUUCCUGGUGGAGCGGUGGAAUGCGCAGAUAUCAGGAGGAACACCAGUGGCGAAGGCGGUUCUCUGGGCCUUUCCUGACGCUGAGGAGCGAAAGCGUGGGGAGCGAACAGGCUUAGAUACCCUGGUAGUCCACGCUGUAAACGGUGGGUACUAGGUGUGGGGUCCAUUCCACGGGUUCCGUGCCGUAGCUAACGCUUUAAGUACCCCGCCUGGGGAGUACGGCCGCAAGGCUAAAACUCAAAGGAAUUGACGGGGCCCCGCACAAGCGGCGGAGCAUGCGGAUUAAUUCGAUGCAACGCGUAGAACCUUACCUGGGUUUGACAUGGAUCGGGAGUGCUCAGAGAUGGGUGUGCCUCUUUUGGGGUCGGUUCACAGGUGGUGCAUGGCUGUCGUCAGCUCGUGUCGUGAGAUGUUGGGUUAAGUCCCGCAACGAGCGCAACCCUUGUUCACUGUUGCCAGCACGUUAUGGUGGGGACUCAGUGGAGACCGCCGGGGUCAACUCGGAGGAAGGUGGGGAUGACGUCAAGUCAUCAUGCCCCUUAUGUCCAGGGCUUCACGCAUGCUACAAUGGCUGGUACAGAGAGUGGCGAGCCUGUGAGGGUGAGCGAAUCUCGGAAAGCCGGUCUCAGUUCGGAUUGGGGUCUGCAACUCGACCUCAUGAAGUCGGAGUCGCUAGUAAUCGCAGAUCAGCAACGCUGCGGUGAAUACGUUCCCGGGGCU
RNAcentral lists this ribosomal RNA (1346 nucleotides) under uncultured bacterium. RNAcentral's name for it is "partial 16S ribosomal RNA". It matches the Rfam family "Bacterial small subunit ribosomal RNA", at positions 28 to 1381 of the family's 1533-position model. The record is from RNAcentral.